Molecule: long non-coding RNA, 594 nt
Filed under: Theobroma cacao (cacao)
Lineage: Eukaryota; Viridiplantae; Streptophyta; Magnoliopsida; Malvales; Malvaceae
Description: long non-coding RNA (TCAC_LNC001539)
Source: RNAcentral
AUUUACUGCACAUUGUAAUGGAAAAUGUACAAGUUUGUUAAAGCUAAAUUUUGAAAUAUAGUGUUCAUCUUGAUGAUCUUGUAAGAAGUAUAACCCUGAAGAUACUUCAGCAACUCCAAUCACCUUCCAUGAGUGGAGAUCCUGGAUAACACAAAUCUCAUCAGUGAACAAAAUUGAAGAUUUUUUACAAAAGGUGAGCUUGCUACUGAUACAAGAUUAAAAUGGAAUGAUGGUACACACAAAACAUUGUUAAAGUCAACAAAAAAUUCAGUUUAACUAUUCCUAUGUGAGUAACAAUGGCUCUAGCCUUAUUUGGUAGAUUAAAAAAAUAAUCUCUAACUGGUACAUCAAAAACAAAAUCAGACAAAGAACAUGAUAUGUGAUCAGUAACACCAGUGUCUAUUAUCCAAGAAUCUUGUUUAAACAUGGACCUAUUUACAUUUUAUAUUUGAGUGGAAGAUUAUAUGAAGUAUUGAAAUAGGAUACACUAGAAAUGUUACUUGGAAAAGCUGAAUUUACCAAAGAAGGCUUUGUUGGCUGAGUAUUUGAUGAACUUGCAAUACAAUCUUCACUGUUUAUACCACUCUCUCUAAA